Molecule: ribosomal RNA, 468 nt
Filed under: uncultured bacterium
Lineage: Bacteria
Description: partial 16S ribosomal RNA
Rfam family: Bacterial small subunit ribosomal RNA
Source: RNAcentral
GACGAACGCUGGCGGCGUGCUUAACACAUGCAAGUCGAACGGAAAGGCCCUGCUUUUGUGGGGUGCUCGAGUGGCGAACGGGUGAGUAACACGUGAGUAACCUGCCCUUGACUUUGGGAUAACUUCAGGAAACUGGGGCUAAUACCGGAUAGGAGCUCCUGCUGCAUGGUGGGGGUUGGAAAGUUUCGGCGGUAGGGGAUGGACUCGCGGCUUAUCAGCUUGUUGGUGGGGUAGUGGCUUACCAAGGCUUUGACGGGUAGCCGGCCUGAGAGGGUGAACGGCGACAUGGGGACUGAGAGACGGACCAGACUGGUACGGGAGGCAGCAGUGGGGAGUAUUGCACAAUGGGCGGAAGCCUGAUGCAGCGACGCCGCGUGCGGGAAGACGGCCUUCGGGGUGUAAACCGCUUUCGCCUGUGACGAAGCGUGAGUGACGGUAAUGGGUAAAGAAGCACCGGCUAACUACGUG